CUUAGUGAACCGAUGCUACCUCGUAGGAGGGGCAAAGAUCAUCAGAUAAAAGCUACUCCGGGGAUAACAGGCUGGUUUUGCCCGAGCGUUCAUAGCGACGGCAAAGUUCGGCACCUUAAAGAAGAAAUCGGGGUGCUAUGGGAGAGAUC
This 149-nucleotide ribosomal RNA is filed under the name bacterium. RNAcentral's name for it is "partial 23S ribosomal RNA". It matches the Rfam family "Bacterial large subunit ribosomal RNA", at positions 2411 to 2558 of the family's 2925-position model. The record is from RNAcentral.